UUCGCAAUGCCCGAAAGGGUGACGAAGCGACGCCGCGUGUGGGAAGAAGGCCUUCGGGUUGUAAACCACUGUCGGGAGUUAAGAAAUGCAAGGGUGCUAAUAGUAUCCUUGCUUGACUAAGGCUCCGGAGGAAGCCACGGCUAACUCUGUGCCAGCAGCCGCGGUAAUACAGAGGCGGCAAGCGUUGUUCGGAAUUAUUGGGCGUAAAGAGCACGUAGGCGGCUAUGUAAGUCGGUUGUGAAAGCCUUCCGCUCCACGGAAGAACAGCAUCCGAUACUGCAUGGCUUGAGUGCGGGAGGGGAGAGUGGAACUUCUGGUGGAGCGGUGAAAUGCGUAGAUAUCAGAAGGAACGCCGGCGGCGAAAGCGGCUCUCUGGCCCAUAACUGACGCUGAGUGUGCGAAAGCUAGGGGAGCAAACGGGAUUAGAUACCCCGGUAGUCCUAGCCGUAAACGAUGGGCACUAAGUAGAGGGGUUUU
RNAcentral lists this ribosomal RNA (477 nucleotides) under uncultured anaerobic ammonium-oxidizing bacterium. RNAcentral describes it as "bacterial SSU rRNA". It matches the Rfam family "Bacterial small subunit ribosomal RNA", at positions 365 to 832 of the family's 1533-position model. The record is from RNAcentral.